AUUUCACUCCUACCCAAGAAGGAAUCACCUUUGGAGCUGCGCGACUUCAGGCCAAUUUCGAUUGUUCAUAGUGUCCCAAAGUUGGCUAGCAAGGUCCUUGCCCACAGAUUACAGCUGCAAAUCCCCUCCUUGGUUCACCCUCUACAAUCUGGCUUCCUCAAGGGUCGUUCCAUAAUUGAGAACUUUGUUAUGGUUGCUGACAUGGUUCAAACAACACACAAAAGGAAACUACCUAUGGUGGCUCUCAAGCCGGACUUCCAAAAGGCGUUCGACACUGUCAGCUGGGCCUGUCUCUUCAGCAUUCUCCAGGCCCGCGGUUUCCCUUCUAGAUGGAUCAACUGGAUCUCAUCGCUCCUGACCACGGCUAGCUCCAAAAUCAUGCUUAAUGGUGACCUUGGAGAGUCUUUUGUUGCAAGGAGGGGUUUUCGCCAGGGCGACUCCAUCUCGCCAUACCUAUUCAUUUUAGUCGCUGAUGUCCUACAGAGGUUGUGCUGUUUGCGUUUUGAAGACGGCAGCCUGAUACACCCGCUUGGUUCUGACAGACUGUACUUGGUGCUACAAUACGCUGACGAUACACUUCUUUUGUUCCAAGGCAGCACUCAGCAAGCAGCCAUCGUCAAACAGAUUCUGUCUGAUUUCUCAAGUUUCACCGGCCUGCAAAUCAACUACCACAAGAGUACUAUGAUCCCUAUCUGUAUCGACCCGAACAGUGCAUAG
RNAcentral lists this ribosomal RNA (717 nucleotides) under Triticum aestivum (bread wheat). Its description in RNAcentral is "partial small subunit ribosomal RNA". The record is from RNAcentral. Lineage: Eukaryota; Viridiplantae; Streptophyta; Magnoliopsida; Poales; Poaceae.